Molecule: ribosomal RNA, 251 nt
Filed under: uncultured bacterium
Lineage: Bacteria
Description: partial 16S ribosomal RNA
Rfam family: Bacterial small subunit ribosomal RNA
Source: RNAcentral
AGUAAUACAUAAGUAACCUGCCCUAGACAGGGGGAUAACUGCUGGAAACGGCAGCUAAGACCGCAUAGGUAUGGACACUGCAUGGUGACCAUAUUAAAAGUGCCAAGGCACUGGUAGAGGAUGGACUUAUGGCGCAUUAGCUGGUUGGCGGGGUAACGGCCCACCAAGGCGACGAUGCGUAGCCGACCUGAGAGGGUGACCGGCCACACUGGGACUGAGACACGGUCCAGACUCCUACGGGAGGCAGCAUG